Molecule: ribosomal RNA, 253 nt
Filed under: uncultured bacterium
Lineage: Bacteria
Description: partial 16S ribosomal RNA
Rfam family: Bacterial small subunit ribosomal RNA
Source: RNAcentral
UACAGGGGGUGCAAACGUUGCUCGGAAUUAUUGGGCGUAAAGGGCGCGUAGGCGGCUUGGCAAGUGGAUGGUGAAAUCCCUCGGCUUAACCGAGGAACUGCCGUCCAAACUGCUUUGCUUGAGGCCGGGAGAGGCGAGUGGAAUUCCCAGUGUAGCGGUGAAAUGCGUAGAUAUUGGGAGGAACACCAGUGGCGAAGGCGGCUCGCUGGACCGGUUCUGACGCUGAUGCGCGAAAGCGUGGGGAGCAAACGGG